This 260-nucleotide unclassified non-coding RNA is filed under the name fungal sp. RNAcentral describes it as "partial internal transcribed spacer region". The stretch from base 1 to 46 matches the Rfam family "Eukaryotic small subunit ribosomal RNA", at positions 1786 to 1831 of the family's 1831-position model. RNAcentral also lists the same sequence under 1 other name. The record is from RNAcentral. Lineage: Eukaryota; Fungi.
AAGUCGUAACAAGGUUUCCGUAGGUGAACCUGCGGAAGGAUCAUUAGUGAAUAUUAGCGUGUCGACCUUUACAGGAAGAGCGUGACCUCCACUUUUCAAACUCUUGUGCAUUUUUCGGCGGUUUCAUUUUGUGAUCUAAGAGCUUUGGCUCAAAAAAAAUCUAAAGUGGUUCCGUGGCUCAUUUAUAAACACUAUAGUUAAAGUAUGUAAUGAAAAUUUAAAACAAAAAAAAACUUUCAACAACGGAUCUCUUGGCUCUC